UCAAAUUGCAUUGGAGGAAGUGGCGGACGC
Molecule: small RNA, 30 nt
Filed under: Bombyx mori (domestic silkworm)
Lineage: Eukaryota; Metazoa; Arthropoda; Insecta; Lepidoptera; Bombycidae
Description: ovarian small RNA-24517
Source: RNAcentral